CAACUAAGUCGUCAAUUUUAUCCCUAAACCUUCUUUCACUGCUAAAUCUCUUCAAAUGGAAAAUCAAAAUUUCGGGGCAUCUCCAAAUUUCCAUUUGUUUACUAGCCUGUCGAAAUUCUUUGCAUGUAGGACAGUACCAAGGAUCUUCUUCACCCAGUUGCUCCGUUUUUUCGAACUCAUCUAAACAAUCAUUCAAAGUAAUGGUACGAGAAUCUUCAGAAUCAUCCUUUUUGUCCGACAAUAUUGUUUUUGAUUCUAGCCACAAUGAACGUCCCAUUUGAGGAGAAGAAGGUGCCACACUAAAUACAAAUUGAUAGGAUUUUUCAGGCCACUCACACACCAGCAAGUCACCCUGAAUAAGCAAACGAUCAUUUUCCUUUGCGGUCAACUUGGUGUUUUCGUUACUCUUCGAAGGCUCAGGAUAUGAACCGGGUGCAACGUCUUUGAACUCACUGUCAUCUUCUUCCUCAAUUGAAUGAGCAUCUAAAGGAUCGACCGUCGAUUCUAAAUCCUUUUUAUCCCGUUCGGUUAACAAAGGCAAGUUAGAAACACUCAUGUUCCAACCGGUAGGGAUUUUUUCAAACCGAUCAUGGAAAACUCUCAUUUCAAACAAUGGUGUCUGACUAUGAUCCAUAUCAACAUCCAACGGACCUUUUUGCACUUGUUCAUCUUCGUGGCCAAGUUCCAAAGACUCCAACGAGUCAAUAUUUUUUAAGUUUUUUAAAGUUGUAAAUUGCUGAUAUUUAAGUUUGAGCUUUUCACUUAUAAAGGAAGCAUCAGUAACUUCAUUGUCUGACAAUUGCAGGACAAAUGGGUGACCAAAAUCGCGUGAACUCAUAUAGGAGUUUGCCGAAUUUGUAGAAUCAUCAGAUAUAUGAUAGACAGGAACCAAAAUGUCAUCAGAUCCAUCUUCGUACGGUCUCUCUAACUCAUAAAGAUAAAUUUCAUCUUCCU
Schizosaccharomyces pombe (fission yeast) is the source of this 954-nucleotide non-coding RNA. The record is from the annotation of a GenBank genome assembly. Lineage: Eukaryota; Fungi; Ascomycota; Schizosaccharomycetes; Schizosaccharomycetales; Schizosaccharomycetaceae.